This 252-nucleotide ribosomal RNA is filed under the name uncultured bacterium. RNAcentral's name for it is "partial 16S ribosomal RNA". It matches the Rfam family "Bacterial small subunit ribosomal RNA", at positions 524 to 776 of the family's 1533-position model. The record is from RNAcentral.
UACGUAGGGGGCAAGCGUUGUCCGGAAUUAUUGGGCGUAAAGCGCGCGCAGGCGGUUCUUUAAGUCUGGUGUUUAAGCCCAGGGCUCAACCUUGGGACGCACUGGAAACUGGGGGACUGGAGUGCAGGAGAGGAAAGUGGAAUUCCACGUGUAGCGGUGAAAUGCGUAGAGAUGUGGAGGAACACCAGUGGCGAAGGCGACUUUCUGGCCUGUAACUGACGCUGAGGCGCGAAAGCGUGGGGAGCAAACAGG